AUGGUUUCUCUUGUGAGUUUGUGCAGAUGCCGCAGCAGAGAAACACCCAUGAAGACAUUCUUGACAUUAGGAAGACUUUUCUGUAUACCUGCGCAACUAGCAAUGUGUUUGAUGUUGACUUCUGGGGUUUGUUUGGCAUCGAACCCUGUGAGUGGUUGGAUCUUGGUGAGCAUGACUACAGGAUCUUUGGAAGCCAGUUCUCGGAGCACGGCUGGUGUUAUGAAGGGGCGGUUGGGAGCUCUGAAAGGUUCUACGGCUGCUUGUGCAGAGAGCCCCUCUGAACCCAAGAAUCCCAUUGUGGAAUUGAUAGACAGCGACGAUGAUGCGUUUGACAAGAUUGCUGGCAUGGGAAGAGUCACCAGGAGCGCUGCUGCCAAGGGUUUAUCCCCUCUUGCUGGAAUAGUGGCCCGUAGAGCUGGUGCUGCUAGGAAGGAUCCUGCUAUGGAUUCAGGUACAAGCACGAAGCAUGCACCCAGAGCUCCUAUAAAGUUUUGCUCCCCUAUGCAGCAGCUUCACCCUCAUAAAUUCCCUCACAUGGACAAGGUUCGCAAGUUGUAUAAUCUGUUGCUUAGUGAUGAAUGGCGUGAGAAGUAUGCCGAGAAUGUGUUCUCAAUGAUACCUCAGCCUCAUGAUAGAGUAACUAGCUUCACUUGGAAACGCAUCUAG
Molecule: ribosomal RNA, 666 nt
Filed under: Triticum aestivum (bread wheat)
Lineage: Eukaryota; Viridiplantae; Streptophyta; Magnoliopsida; Poales; Poaceae
Description: partial small subunit ribosomal RNA
Source: RNAcentral